Molecule: ribosomal RNA, 1851 nt
Filed under: Escherichia coli
Lineage: Bacteria; Pseudomonadati; Pseudomonadota; Gammaproteobacteria; Enterobacterales; Enterobacteriaceae
Description: partial 23S ribosomal RNA
Rfam family: Bacterial large subunit ribosomal RNA
Source: RNAcentral
GGGUUGUGAGGUUAAGCGACUAAGCGUACACGGUGGAUGCCCUGGCAGUCAGAGGCGAUGAAGGACGUGCUAAUCUGCGAUAAGCGUCGGUAAGGUGAUAUGAACCGUUAUAACCGGCGAUUUCCGAAUGGGGAAACCCAGUGUGUUUCGACACACUAUCAUUAACUGAAUCCAUAGGUUAAUGAGGCGAACCGGGGGAACUGAAACAUCUAAGUACCCCGAGGAAAAGAAAUCAACCGAGAUUCCCCCAGUAGCGGCGAGCGAACGGGGAGGAGCCCAGAGCCUGAAUCAGUGUGUGUGUUAGUGGAAGCGUCUGGAAAGGCGCGCGAUACAGGGUGACAGCCCCGUACACAAAAAUGCACAUACUGUGAGCUCGAUGAGUAGGGCGGGACACGUGGUAUCCUGUCUGAAUAUGGGGGGACCAUCCUCCAAGGCUAAAUACUCCUGACUGACCGAUAGUGAACCAGUACCGUGAGGGAAAGGCGAAAAGAACCCCGGCGAGGGGAGUGAAAAAGAACCUGAAACCGUGUACGUACAAGCAGUGGGAGCCUCUUUUAUGGGGUGACUGCGUACCUUUUGUAUAAUGGGUCAGCGACUUAUAUUCUGUAGCAAGGUUAACCGAAUAGGGGAGCCGAAGGGAAACCGAGUCUUAACUGGGCGUUAAGUUGCAGGGUAUAGACCCGAAACCCGGUGAUCUAGCCAUGGGCAGGUUGAAGGUUGGGUAACACUAACUGGAGGACCGAACCGACUAAUGUUGAAAAAUUAGCGGAUGACUUGUGGCUGGGGGUGAAAGGCCAAUCAAACCGGGAGAUAGCUGGUUCUCCCCGAAAGCUAUUUAGGUAGCGCCUCGUGAAUUCAUCUCCGGGGGUAGAGCACUGUUUCGGCAAGGGGGUCAUCCCGACUUACCAACCCGAUGCAAACUGCGAAUACCGGAGAAUGUUAUCACGGGAGACACACGGCGGGUGCUAACGUCCGUCGUGAAGAGGGAAACAACCCAGACCGCCAGCUAAGGUCCCAAAGUCAUGGUUAAGUGGGAAACGAUGUGGGAAGGCCCAGACAGCCAGGAUGUUGGCUUAGAAGCAGCCAUCAUUUAAAGAAAGCGUAAUAGCUCACUGGUCGAGUCGGCCUGCGCGGAAGAUGUAACGGGGCUAAACCAUGCACCGAAGCUGCGGCAGCGACACUAUGUGUUGUUGGGUAGGGGAGCGUUCUGUAAGCCUGUGAAGGUGUGCUGUGAGGCAUGCUGGAGGUAUCAGAAGUGCGAAUGCUGACAUAAGUAACGAUAAAGCGGGUGAAAAGCCCGCUCGCCGGAAGACCAAGGGUUCCUGUCCAACGUUAAUCGGGGCAGGGUGAGUCGACCCCUAAGGCGAGGCCGAAAGGCGUAGUCGAUGGGAAACAGGUUAAUAUUCCUGUACUUGGUGUUACUGCGAAGGGGGGACGGAGAAGGCUAUGUUGGCCGGGCGACGGUUGUCCCGGUUUAAGCGUGUAGGCUGGUUUUCCAGGCAAAUCCGGAAAAUCAAGGCUGAGGCGUGAUGACGAGGCACUACGGUGCUGAAGCAACAAAUGCCCUGCUUCCAGGAAAAGCCUCUAAGCAUCAGGUAACAUCAAAUCGUACCCCAAACCGACACAGGUGGUCAGGUAGAGAAUACCAAGGCGCUUGAGAGAACUCGGGUGAAGGAACUAGGCAAAAUGGUGCCGUAACUUCGGGAGAAGGCACGCUGAUAUGUAGGUGAAGUCCCUCGCGGAUGGAGCUGAAAUCAGUCGAAGAUACCAGCUGGCUGCAACUGUUUAUUAAAAACACAGCACUGUGCAAACACGAAAGUGGACGUAUACGGUGUGACGCCUGCCCGGUGC